UAGAGUUUACUCUUGUUUUUUUUUUUUUUUGAGAUAGAGAGAUAGGUAACACGCUACCCGCUUCGUUUAUUUCAUUUAGAAAUAAAUUUGGCUGGAAAUGUGAAUCAACUAGAACUCGAACUUAGGUCUCGAGUAUCAACCACCAAAUUCUUUCCCACUUGCUCUUGGGACGGUCGGUAUAGAGUUUACUAAUUGAUACAACA
This 203-nucleotide long non-coding RNA is filed under the name Ananas comosus (pineapple). Its description in RNAcentral is "long non-coding RNA (ACOM_LNC035572)". The record is from RNAcentral. Lineage: Eukaryota; Viridiplantae; Streptophyta; Magnoliopsida; Poales; Bromeliaceae.